RNAcentral lists this small RNA (180 nucleotides) under Metapseudomonas otitidis. Its description in RNAcentral is "Pseudomonas otitidis Pseudomonas sRNA P1". It matches the Rfam family "Pseudomonas sRNA P1". Rfam says of the family: There appears to be two related copies of P1 sRNA in the P.aeruginosa PA01 genome and both copies appear to be located upstream of predicted glutamine synthetase genes. This sRNA appears to be conserved amongst several Pseudomonas species. Lineage: Bacteria; Pseudomonadati; Pseudomonadota; Gammaproteobacteria; Pseudomonadales; Pseudomonadaceae. RNAcentral also lists the same sequence under 2 other names. The record is from RNAcentral.
GCACCCGUUUUAUUGCUGUUAUGGGUUUCGGCCGAGCUUAGCGUUGUUCAUUUUUUUACACAAUAGGGCUGUAAAAAAUUGAACACACCCCACUGGACGCCGCGCCGGGCAUGGCUCCGAGCAGGGCCAAGAUGCCCUGAAACGCCCCAAAAUUGGCCAUCGAGCCCCGCUUUAGGGCAA